GACGAACGCUGGCGGCGUGCUUAACACAUGCAAGUCGAACGGAAAGGCCCUGCUUUUGCGGGGUGCUCGAGUGGCGAACGGGUGAGUAACACGUGAGUAACCUGCCCUUGACUUUGGGAUAACUUCAGGAAACUGGGGCUAAUACCGGAUAGGAGCUCCUGCUGCAUGGUGGGGGUUGGAAAGAUUCGGCGGUUGGGGAUGGUCUCGCGGCUUAUCAGCUUGUUGGUGGGGUAGGGGCUUACCAAGGUUUUGACGGGUAGCCGGCAUGGGAGGUUGGCCGGGGACAAGAGGACUGAGGUACGGCGCAGAAUCGUACGGGAGGCAACAGUGGGGAACAUUGCGCAAUGGGCGGAAGCGUGAGGCAGCAACGCUGGGUGCGGGAUAACGUCUUUCUAGUGGAAAACCGCUUUCGCAUGUGACGAAGCGUGAGUGACGGUAAUGGGUAAGGAAGCACCGGCUAACUACGUG
RNAcentral lists this ribosomal RNA (468 nucleotides) under uncultured bacterium. RNAcentral's name for it is "partial 16S ribosomal RNA". It matches the Rfam family "Bacterial small subunit ribosomal RNA", at positions 28 to 507 of the family's 1533-position model. The record is from RNAcentral.